Molecule: long non-coding RNA, 340 nt
Organism: Sander lucioperca (pikeperch)
Lineage: Eukaryota; Metazoa; Chordata; Actinopteri; Perciformes; Percidae
Exons: 3
Source: RefSeq, a predicted model, not a curated record
UAUUUGACUUUUAUUAGUACGGUAAGGAGGUCAUUUAGUGGCAGUAUCACCAUUACGUAGUGUAGAAGAAAAUGAAUUACCAACACCCAACAUUACUAACAUUGUUAGUCUCAUCUUAUCUUAAUAUUCUCUUCUGUUCUGUAUGGCAUUAAGGUCCCUAUCCUGCACCUGGUGCAGCGCAAAGCCCGACGCAAGUGUCUUUGCUAGUUUAAGACCGACACAGUUGUCAAAUGACCGCCCAGCACCCGCGUCGUUGAAAUAGCAAAUGCACCUGCGCCCAUCAGUGGCCCAUGGGCGUGCUGGUCUUACAGGGAGGUGUGUUCAGGUGCAUUCUGGGCGU